This 32-nucleotide ribosomal RNA is filed under the name Globisporangium ultimum var. ultimum. Its description in RNAcentral is "partial 18S ribosomal RNA". Lineage: Eukaryota; Oomycota; Peronosporomycetes; Pythiales; Pythiaceae. The record is from RNAcentral.
CUCACAUAUUAAUAAGGCGGAGGAAAUGAUUA